GCUCGUUGUGCGCAAUGGGUAGCGCGUUGGACUUCUCAUACAAAUGCUGUGGGUUCGAAUUCCACCUGGAAUG
Molecule: non-coding RNA, 73 nt
Organism: Trichonephila clavipes
Lineage: Eukaryota; Metazoa; Arthropoda; Arachnida; Araneae; Nephilidae
Source: the annotation of a GenBank genome assembly